RNAcentral lists this ribosomal RNA (465 nucleotides) under uncultured bacterium. Its description in RNAcentral is "partial 16S ribosomal RNA". It matches the Rfam family "Bacterial small subunit ribosomal RNA", at positions 338 to 795 of the family's 1533-position model. The record is from RNAcentral.
CCUACGGGGGGCAGCAGUAGGGAAUCUUCCACAAUGGGCGAAAGCCUGAUGGAGCAACGCCGCGUGGGUGAAGAAGGUCUUCGGAUCGUAAAACCCUGUUGGUAGAGAAGAAAGUGCGUGAGAGUAACUGUUCACGUUUCGACGGUAUCUAACCAGAAAGCCACGGCUAACUACGUGCCAGCAGCCGCGGUAAUACGUAGGUGGCAAGCGUUAUCCGGAUUUAUUGGGCGUAAAGGGAACGCAGGCGGUCUUUUAAGUCUGAUGUGAAAGCCUUGGGCUUAACCGGAGAAGUGCAUUGGAAACUGGGAGGCUUGAGUGCAGAAGAGGAGAGUGGAACUCCAGGUGUAGCGGUGAAAUGCGUAGAUAUAUGGAAGAACACCAGUGGCGAAAGCGGCUCUCUGGUCUGUAACUGACGCUGAGGUUCGAAAGCGUGGGGAGCAAACAGGAUUAGAUACCCUGGUAGUC